RNAcentral lists this ribosomal RNA (522 nucleotides) under uncultured Glomeraceae. RNAcentral's name for it is "SSU rRNA". It matches the Rfam family "Eukaryotic small subunit ribosomal RNA", at positions 569 to 1092 of the family's 1831-position model. The record is from RNAcentral. Lineage: Eukaryota; Fungi; Glomeromycota; Glomeromycetes; Glomerales; Glomeraceae.
AGCAGCCGCGGUAAUUCCAGCUCCAAUAGCGUAUAUUAAAGUUGUUGCAGUUAAAAAGCUCGUAGUUGAAUUCGGGAUCAAUACGUCGGUCGUGCUUUCGGGUACGUACUGGCGUCAUUGGUUUCUCCUUUCUGACGAACCAUGAUGUCAUUAAUUUGGUGUUAUGGGGAGUUAGGACUGUUACUUUGAAAAAAUUAGAGUGUUUAAAGCAGGCAUUAGCUUGAAUACAUUAGCAUGGAAUAAUGAAAUAGGACGUUCGAUCCUAUUUUGUUGGUUUCUAGGAUCAACGUAAUGAUUAAUAGGGAUAGUUGGGGGCAUUAGUAUUCAAUUGUCAGAGGUGAAAUUCUUGGAUUUAUUGAAGACUAACUACUGCGAAAGCAUUUGCCAAGGAUGUUUUCAUUAAUCAAGAACGAAAGUUAGGGGAUCGAAGACGAUCAGAUACCGUCGUAGUCUUAACCAUAAACUAUGCCGACUAGGGAUCGGAUGAUGUUAAUUUUUUAAUGACUCAUUCGGCGCCUUACG